Molecule: long non-coding RNA, 3934 nt
Filed under: Homo sapiens (human)
Lineage: Eukaryota; Metazoa; Chordata; Mammalia; Primates; Hominidae
Description: HSALNT0180124
Source: RNAcentral
UGUGUAUGUAUGUAUAUAUACAUGUGUGUAUAUAUACGUAUAUACAUGUGUAUAUUUAUGUAUAUAUGUGUGUGUGUGUAUACACACACACACACACACACACACACACACACACACCCCUAACAGUUUGGAGCUGGGAAAAGAACUUAAUAAACUGCUUUCAUAUACUUAUUUCUUUAAUUGUUGUAAGUAAUAUAUCUACAGGACUUAAAAACUAAUACAGUAUUACAAGGCUUAUUAUGAAAAACAAUAAUUCCUCAACUCUACCCUUCCUCCUCCCUAGCCCUACUACCGGAAUAAAUUAGUACAACAUUUCAACGUUUUAGCUGUUUUUAUAUUUGCUUCCAGAUUUCAGAUAUAGAACCACUCUUAGACCAGGUAAGCAAGAAUCUAGUUCCAAUAAAGUGGCUUCAUUACAAGUUGCCUCCUGCUGGAUGAUGCAAGUAUUUCUCUUUAGAUUGUAUAAGAUUAAAGUGUUGAAAUGAUGCCGUCUUGCUGAUUUGCAGUGAUUCUCUCUUAUUUGUGUCAGAUCCAGGAUGAGUUCAGACCCUGGGCUAUCCAUGGACCAUGGCUGACCCUUGGCCUAAAGCCACAUAUCCAGGCCUAUGAAAUGGAUUUGACCCAUCUGUGAUCUGAUUACCCCACCACUGCAUGCCUACAGCACACAAGGAAUGCGAAAACAUCAUGUUCCAGGGACAGUCUUCAUUUGCGCUAGACAAAAGACAAACAAUCCUUCCUUGAAUGGACCCACUCUUCUUUUUUCACUCAUCUCCUCUCACUGAUCUCCCUGCUGGUGGUGGCGGAUAGAAGGCAGAGAUGUGGUCAACACCAAAUGAGAUUAUGUUCUGGGAAUUCAGAGAUUACAGUCUGAAGAAUUCAAGAUAAGGGACAUGUAAUCAGCGAGUACUGACUUUCUCUCCCAUCCUUCAUCUUAUUAAUGUGCUGCUUGAAUAAAAGAUGUGGCCACUGAUCCAGUAGGAAAUGCGCAUCUGGUUUCCAUCACCAAUUGAGAUGUUUAGAACUGCAUGAUUCCAUCAAUUCCCUGUCUUGGCUAUUCCCACCCAAGGGCUCAAGAUCACUCUCAAGUAUGACCUCCAUAAAGAACCUUCAUAUCAUCUUGCCCUGCAUGAAAUAUAUUAGAAGCCUUUGCUCUGGUCUUUCAUGGUACUUUUAAAGGAUAUUAUCAUUUACAAAAUGGAAUACCAAUGACUUUUCACAAGUGGUCUAUCAACUAAGCAUGUACUUAAGUAAAUAUUUUCAGAGGAUUUCAUUAACCUCUGAGUGAAUAGUUGAAAAAAAAGAAUGAAACAGAUAUAAGUCCAUGUUUUUAUUUGUAAAUAAAUGUAUUGCCAAAAUUACAUACAAAUAACAAAUAAUGUCUCGAGUGACAUGCAAUGAUCAAAAUCCUCAAAAGAAUACUUUUGUUUAGUAGAGAUUUGAACAAAUAAACUACAAUUUAAGGAGACUGUUGUAUUUCUUUUGAGAUAACCCCAUAAGUUUUACAUUCUGUAUCAAGGCAUCCAUUUGCAGUAAUAAAGAUUCAAGGCUUAUCCCUAAAAGGCAAUGCCCAUUCUUUAUAGUCAAUAUGAUCCUGCUAGCACAUAAAGCCUGAAGAAAUAACAGAUACUAGAUUUAAAACCACUUUACUAAAAUUAAUCCAUGGUGAUGAUAUGGAAGAAAACCACAGGAGUCUUGAGAAAAUAAACUAGCUGCUGUCUGGUUGAUACCAGAAAUAGAGAUUGGUAUAAGGAAAAAAUUAAAAGAAAGAAGUAUCACAAAUAAGAAUGAUUGAUACUUAUUAGAAACAUAUCUGGAAAUAGAUGAUUAGGAAUAUUAAAAAUAAAAAUGAAGAGGUAUAUAUGAUGCCACUGAAGAAACAAGCAAAAUUCAAAUGAAUAAAAGGUAAACAAGAAAUCAGGAAAUAAAAAAAGUCCAAUAAAAUCUGAAAAGGGAAAGAAGGCACAAAGUAAGUAUCAAUAAAGAAACCACAAUAUCAUUACUGCAAAGUCAGAGGUCAAAACAUCAUAGCUAUAGAAACCUUAAAGAGACUUUUUAAAAUAUAUCAUUUCUAAGAGGCCAUAAUAUACAAUAAGUUACAAAUAUAAAAAUGUUUUAAUAUUUACAAUUUAACGUACAUGUAGACAAUAAAGUUAUGGGAAAAGAAACAAAAGACAACAAAAGUAACAUCCCUACUUAUGUACACUCACUAUGCUUUCACGGUACAUACUUUUACUUUCCAAACCCUAACAAUUAUAUAGCAUUUCACACAAUAAAAUUUUAUAUAGCAUAUCUGAAUUACUUCAAAGCUUAAUGCGGAUUUAAAUAAUAAAACUUUACUAUUUUGAUCAUAAAUUAAGCAAAUGAGACUAAAAUGACAUUUUUUAUUUUCAACUUAAUGGUUAUUUAAUAAUCACUGCACUCCUUGGGGAUGUUAACAUUGUAGAACUCGACAAAUUAACAAGAUAGUUCUAGGUUGACUCUAUUUUCUCUUAAAUAUUAAAUUUAUGAUUUGCUAAAAAAAAAAAAAAACCUCUAAUAAGGACACAGAACUUAUAGUUUGCCAGUUUGUGUUACAAGAACUUUCUACACUGAGGAAGAUAUGAACACUAGUUAUCACACUCCAAACACUCUGCUUCCUGCACAUACCAUCUCCUGCAUUGCCUAUUUUUUCUAGCAAAGCACUUAGUAAUCACUUGUAUAUGUUUAAUUGUGGAAGUCUUAAAGCUGUAAUAAUUUAUAUUGUGUAAAAUAGAAAGGACGUGAAUUCAGUACAUCAGGGAUGGAAAAUAUGCUCUUACUCAUUCUCCUGUGGCUGAAGUAGAAAUCAGUAGUAUGUAUGUAAACCUUUUUUUCCUGAGCCUCAAAAUUCCUCUCAAUGCUCAGUUCCAGGCAGCCAUUACCAAUUGCUAAGAGUUAGCAUAUGGGUGAAAAUUGAUUUGACAUCUCUAGUUAGAAUAUGAAAUGCUGGCGUAUAAAUUAUAGGUCAAGAGAUCACAGGUAUCUGGAUAAGCAAUAUCAUUCAGUUACAAAAAAAAAUUGGUGUGCAGGGUUAAUAUGAAAUCUGAGAACUAUGUAAACCAUUUCUCAGAGAUUAAAGCCAUGAUAUAGUUACAAUGUAGCCAAAACUGGCUGUGGAACAUAGAGAACUCGUAAGUGUUACUGUCUUAGAUAGCUGGAACGAUCACUGAGACUACUCUUUUAUAUGUUAACUUGUUUACUGCUCACAGCAAACUUAUAUGUUGAGUACUAUGAUUAUCAUCUACCUAUCCUCAAUUAAAACACAUGUACCCUAAAACUUAAAGUAUAAUAAUAAUAAAAUAAAAACAAAACAAACAAAAAGAAAACAAAGAGAUCUUAUUAUCAUCCCCAAGUUAAACUGCAUAACAAAAGGUAGAGGUGGGAUUUUUAACUAAUUUAUCUUCAGAGUAAGUGUCUCUACUAACUUCUAUACUUUCUGUUGCCUAUGCAAGUCUGUUAUAGAAAUCAAAUAAGAACAUGUGGGUAAAAGUGAGUUUAAACCACUAGCAGAUGUAAGGAGUUGAUAUUAAUAAUGAAUCCAUGAAACAUGCAGGGGGGUUAAAGGUUGGGUUUGCAAAUAAGAGGUUUGUGUUUGUUUGUUGUUGUUCUUUUUUUUGAGAUAGAGUCUCGCUGUAUCACCAGGCUGGAGUGCAGUGGUGCGAUACCAGCUUACUGCAACCUCGUCCUCCCGGGUUCAUGCCAUUCUCCUGCGUCAGCCUCUUGAGUAGCUGGGACUACAGGUGCGUGCCACCAUGCCUGGCUAAUUUUUUGUAUUUAUUGUAGAGACAGGAUUUAACCACGUUAGCCAAGUUGAUCUUGAUCUCCUGACUUUGUGAUCCACCCACCUUGGCCUCCCAAAGUGCUGGGAUUACAGGUAUGAGCCAUGGCACUUGGCCUUUUGUUUUGCUUUGUUUUG